RNAcentral lists this ribosomal RNA (253 nucleotides) under uncultured bacterium. Its description in RNAcentral is "partial 16S ribosomal RNA". It matches the Rfam family "Bacterial small subunit ribosomal RNA", at positions 524 to 776 of the family's 1533-position model. The record is from RNAcentral.
UACGUAGGGUGCAAGCGUUAAUCGGAAUUACUGGGCGUAAAGCGUGCGCAGGCGGUUUUGUAAGUUUGUCGUGAAAGCCCCGGGCUCAACCUGGGAAUUGCGAUGAAGACUGCAAGGCUUGAAUCUGGCAGAGGGGGGUAGAAUUCCACGUGUAGCAGUGAAAUGCGUAGAGAUGUGGAGGAACACCGAUGGCGAAGGCAGCCCCCUGGGUCAAGAUUGACGCUCAUGCACGAAAGCGUAGGGAGCAAACGGG